This 834-nucleotide long non-coding RNA is filed under the name Phoenix dactylifera (date palm). RNAcentral describes it as "long non-coding RNA (PDAC_LNC017782)". The record is from RNAcentral. Lineage: Eukaryota; Viridiplantae; Streptophyta; Magnoliopsida; Arecales; Arecaceae.
GACACGGAGUCUCUCUCCAAUAGAGAAUUCCUCACUAGCUAGAAACUGAAAAUCAAUAUAUCUACCUGUGGUUACUGUGCGAUUCGCACAGGAGAGGGUCAUGGUUGGCGGAGCAACCGGAGGAGACGGCGUUGAUCGGUUAUUUCAAUUUCAAAAAUAAACCACGCAAUAGCACGUAUCCUGUAGGAUAGUGAUUACGGGUGUCGGUCCACAGGGAUUGGAGACAAGUUAUUUUUCCUAAUUAAAUAAUUACUUCAAAGGGGAUAAGCUAGAGUAAAUGAUAAAAACUAAGAAUCAAUAUGGAUGUAAUAGUAUGAAUUAUCUAUGGAGAGAGAUGUUUAGGGCUAGAAUCCACCGAUAGAUUUAUAUCCGUGACGCUUUCAAUAAUUGAGUUGUAUGUAAGACUUGAUUGCUUCCGACUAUAAGCCAAAGCAAUCAUUAAAAAUUAUGAUUAAUUCGCAGCAUGAAUCAUCUAAGUCUAGCACAAACCAUCUACUCUAACGAUAAGCAUGAUCUGUCUAACCUAGCAUGAUGCAUCUGAUCAUUAAAUCAUUAAACAUGAAAUCGACGUCACAUAAAUAUCUCCUCCAAACCACAGGUGUUGGAUUCGAUGAAAUAGAUCAAUCUAUGUAAAAUGUUUUAUGCAAGAUAAAUGAUUCACAUAAAUUGGAUAAAUCAUAAGAUCAAUUGAUAAAUUCUUCAUCAUGCAACCUAUCUUACAAUACAAACUCAAAUCAACAAAAAUAAAACGAAUACUCCUCUAUGGCUUCAUCAAACCCCUAAACCGAGGUUUAGCUGCUCAUGAUGCUUGGCGACUUUGAUCGGCUUGCUAAG